GUGAAAUUCUCAGAUUAACUAAAGACUAACUUAUGCGAAAGCAUUUGCCAAGGAUGUUUUCAUCGAUCAAGAACGAAAGU
This 80-nucleotide ribosomal RNA is filed under the name uncultured eukaryote. RNAcentral's name for it is "partial small subunit ribosomal RNA". It matches the Rfam family "Eukaryotic small subunit ribosomal RNA", at positions 911 to 990 of the family's 1831-position model. The record is from RNAcentral.